This 111-nucleotide ribosomal RNA is filed under the name uncultured bacterium. Its description in RNAcentral is "partial 16S ribosomal RNA". The record is from RNAcentral.
CACCGCCCGUCACACCAUGGGAGUUAGGUGAACCUGAAAACGCCUUUGUAACCUCCUUAUCUUCGGAUUAGGGGGAACUAAGCGUUUAUGGUUUGACUGAUGACUGGGGUG